Molecule: long non-coding RNA, 2741 nt
Filed under: Homo sapiens (human)
Lineage: Eukaryota; Metazoa; Chordata; Mammalia; Primates; Hominidae
Description: non-protein coding lnc-OARD1-1:1
Source: RNAcentral
AACCAGUCUCCUAUAAAUAGUUUUCAAUGUUUUAAAAUUACAAACCAUAUUACAAUCAAUAACCUUGCACAUGCAACAUUUCAGAUGUGUGAACGUAUACCUAUAGAUGUCCAGAAGGAUUGCUAGGUUAAGGAAUAAAUGCACUUGUAAGAGUAAAUAGUAUAGAUGGUAUAUAAGUGAAAACAAGACUUUUUAAUAUAUAUUUUUAUAUGGUUUAGUUUUUGUUGACAUAAAAAAUACAAUAGACAAUAAAAAUAAAUAAAGAUUGCCAAAUCACCUUAUACCGUUGUUCACUCACAGUAAGAAAAAGCUCAUUCCUCAGACUCACCAAAGAGUACAUUGUCCAGCAUCUGAAGUUUUGCCUAUCUAUAGGUAAGACAGGUAGUCAGUGUACUUCCAAUUGGCAUUUUUCUUAUUAUGAAUGUUGAUCAUCUUUUUACGUGUUAAAAGACAUGCAUUUCCUUGUCUAUAUACAAUUUACUCAUGUCCUUUGUCCAAUUUUUCUCUUAAGAGUACUAUUGUUUUCUUGAUUUCUAAGUGCUCUUUCCCUAGUAGAGCAAUUCACCCUUUGUCUAUAUGAAUUGCAAACAUUUUUUCUUGGGGACCAUCUGUAUAUAUAAGAGGAAAUUUAUCAUGGGAAUUGGCUCACGCAAUUUGGAGGCUGAGAAGUUCCACAAUCUGCUGUCUGUAAGCUGCAGGAACUUUUCCAGCUUGCUGCUGAAUCAGACCUUGGAGUUGCAAAGUUUAUAACAGAACCUGCUGAAGGACAGUAUCUCUCCUAGAGCCAGCAAUUUUAAACCAAUGUUUGAACAAGAAAAUUAACCAGGGUUUCAGGACAUGUACAUUCACAAAGGCAACAACUACAAAACAAAUGUCUGGCUCUCCAGAAUGCUUCUCCUCUCUGGGCUCUGGUCUCUUCAUCUAUAAAAGGAGGGCUUCACCAGGUUAAUCUACAUUCCCUUCUAAUGAGGCGCAGCAGCAUAGCACAUGCUCCGUAAUGACCUAUUGAUGAGGAGAGAGCUGAAUUUUAACUGUAGGAAGGAUCUCCAAUGGAAUUCAGUAGACUUGGGGUGGAGGUCCAAGAAUUUUCAUUUCUAACAAGUUCCCAGGUAUGUUGAUGCUGCUGGUACAAGGACAUGUUGCCUUGAGGAGGUCAUGUGCUUCUGACUGGCUCCCAACAAUCCCCACCUCCUAGUAUUUAUCCCCUCUGUAUCCCAUCCCGUUGAGUGUGCAUGGGACCUAGUGACUUGAUUCUAACAAAUGGAAUAGAGCGAAGUAAGGGGUUGUUACUUCCAUGGUUAAGUCUGUAGUCUGUGACUUCUUUCUUGCUAGCGUUCUCCUUCUCUCUCUCUCUCUUUCUGUCACUGGUACUGUUCCUUGCCCUCUCACUUGCUCAGUCUAAUGAGGCAAGCUGCCAUGGUAUGAGAUGGUCUAUGGAGAAGGGCACAUAGUAAGGAAGUGUGGAGGUCUCCAGCCAAAAGCUCAUGGGGGCUCCCUGAGGAGGAGAACUCUCAGUCCAACAAUUCAAGAGGGAAGAAAUCUUUACAAUAAUCAUGGACAUGAGCUUGGAAGUGAGUCUUUCCCAGUCCAGCCUCAAGAUGAGACUGCAGCAUUGUGAGAGCCAGAGGACCCAGCUAGGCUGUGCCUGGACCCACAGAAACUGCAAGACAGUCGAUGCAUGUUGUUUUAAGACGCUGAAUCGUGGAAGAUAAUUUGUUACACAGCAAUGGUUAACUAACACAUGCGUGUAAGAGUUUGACACAACAUCUACAAUGUAGAAGGUGCUUGGUAAAUUUAAAUAUGACUUUUAGUAGUGACACCAAAAAAUUCUGCUACUGGUUAUAAGGUCUUGUACUGUACCAGAGAAAUUUGAUAAGCUAGGCAGCCUAUGCAUGGCCUUCACAAGCAGCUAGGAUUAAAUUAGACUAACUAGAGUAGCAUCACAGUUUUUUGAGCUGUAAGCUCAUUCCUCUGCAGUGGAGUCAGCCUCCUUAAUCCAGGCUUGGUUUUCAUCCCAUCCCAUCAUGUCCCCCUCCCAACCAGUUCCCAAUUUGUUCACACUGUGAAGACACAAACUGGACCCUUUUCUGAGACAAAGAGCCAACUUAGAGGAUGAGAGCAGCAACAGGCCUGAGAAUAAGUCCUGUUUUUUUCCCCUUUUUAUUUUUCAGAACAUGGUUGUCCUCUGAGAUUAUGUUAGUAAGAAGAAUCCAUGCAUAAUGAAGUUAAACAUCUGGGAUUGUGAAACCUAAUCAAUUGUGAAAUCUAAUCAAUCACAAUGUGCCUCGUCUGGGAAACAAAUGUAUUAACCAAAGUGGGGUGGUCUGUGCAUGGUCUAGAGGAAGGGGAUGCCACGGAGCAGUAAUUUGUCAGUGUUUUUCCGGCAUUGUCCAAAGCAAGGGGUCCCGACUGGCUGACAGAAACAUCCGCUCUGCUUGACAGAUGGGUCUAGGAGGAGCAGGGAGCACCAGACAAUCAUAACUCACUGACACAAGCCAUUAACAUCAUCCUGUGGCUCUCUGGCACCGAGUCCUUGCUUUCCACGCAAGCUUCAGAUGAGGCUGAUCCUUUUCCCAUGUACAUUGACCUCCCACCAAUGGACGUGAGACUCUGGUUUUCUUGGAAGUAAUAGUUCUCUCUGAAACUAAUAAACUGAUUGAUAUUCUGGCUUAUUCAUCAGUCACUUGAGAGUUUGUUCAACCUGGGUCAGUCUCUGGACUGUAGGGUACUGACCGUAUAGA